AACGAACGCUGGCGGCAUGCCUAACACAUGCAAGUCGAACGAGACCUUCGGGUCUAGUGGCGCACGGGUGCGUAACGCGUGGGAACCUGCCCUUAGGUUCGGAAUAACUCCCCGAAAGGGGUGCUAAUACCGGAUAAUGUCUUCGGACCAAAGAUUUAUCGCCUUUGGAUGGGCCCGCGUUGGAUUAGCUAGUUGGUAGGGUAAAAGCCUACCAAGGCGACGAUCCAUAGCUGGUCUGAGAGGAUGAUCAGCCACACUGGGACUGAGACACGGCCCAGACUCCUACGGGAGGCAGCAGUGGGGAAUAUUGGACAAUGGACGAAAGCCUAAUACAGCAAUGCCGCGUGAGUGAUGAAGGCCUUAGGGUUGUAAAGCUCUUUUACCCGGGAUGAUAAUGACAGUACCGGGAGAAUAAGCACCGGCUAACUCCGUG
This 433-nucleotide ribosomal RNA is filed under the name uncultured bacterium. RNAcentral describes it as "partial 16S ribosomal RNA". It matches the Rfam family "Bacterial small subunit ribosomal RNA", at positions 29 to 507 of the family's 1533-position model. The record is from RNAcentral.